RNAcentral lists this unclassified non-coding RNA (288 nucleotides) under Ambisporaceae sp. RNAcentral's name for it is "partial contains 5.8S ribosomal RNA and internal transcribed spacer 2". The stretch from base 1 to 71 matches the Rfam family "5.8S ribosomal RNA", at positions 84 to 154 of the family's 154-position model. Lineage: Eukaryota; Fungi; Glomeromycota; Glomeromycetes; Archaeosporales; Ambisporaceae. The record is from RNAcentral.
GUGAAUCAUCAAAUUUUUGAACGCAUAUUGCACUCUCUGGUAUUCCGGAGAGUAUGCCUGUUUGAGGGUAAUUAAAAAGAAUCUUUACCAAUUUUGUUGGUCAAAGGAUAUGGGUUCUCCGCGUUUGUAGCGGUAGCUUGAAAUAAAUGGUCAAGUCUCAUGUUAGUCGAUACGCGUAAUAAUAUUAUUUCGCGAAAUCUUAAUUAUGUGAUUGUCAAGUUUUUAUGCAUACAAAUUUGGUUUGUAUGUGAGCUAUAUCAAUACUUUGAACUUUACCUAGAAUAAGGU